AAAAAAAACAAACCCUCGCCCCUUCGGCGGGGCGGGUGUGGACGCCUGCGGCCCGGGGCGAGCCCGGCGCCCGGCGCGCGGGGAUGGGGGUCACGGUGGACGUGCGCCAGGUGUACAAGUACCCCUUCGAGCAGGUGGUCGCCAGCUUCCUCCGAAAGUAUCCCAACCCCAUGGAUAAAAAUGUCAUCUCUGUAAUAACUGUGGAGGAAAAAAGAGAUGUGUCAACAGGGAUCAUCUAUAGAAAGAGGAUUGCAGUCUGUCAGAAUGUGGUUCCAGAAAUUUUAAGGAAGGUGAGCAUUUUAAAGGUACCUAGUAUCCAGUUGGAAGAGGAAUCGUGGCUCAAUCCUCAGGAAAGAAACAUGGCUAUACGGAGUCACUGCCUUACAUGGACACAGUAUGCAUCCAUGAAGGAAGAGUCUGUCUUCCGGGAAAGUGUGGAAAAUCCAAACUGGACAGAGUUCAUUCAGAGAGGCAGAAUUUCAAUUACAGGGGCUGGCUUUCUCAACUGCAUUUUGGAGACUUUUGCCAGCACAUUCUUAAGACAGGGAGCCCAGAGGGGAAUUAGAAUAAUGGAGAUGCUGCUAAAGGAACAGUGUGGUGCCCCCUUAGCUGAAUAAAGAAUCCGCAGACAACUGAUGAAUGCUGGGCCCUGACCAAUGAUGUGAAGACUGUGCCUGCUUCUAGGAACACAGGAGCCAAGUGAAACCAUUCGAUAGACACAUCUAGACACCAACUAUAUGAUGAUAAUUACAAUGAUGAUCACGGAGACUUAAUAUGUUCCAGAAGAGCACUUAAAACCUACUUUCACAAUCCUCUAAGAAUUUCCUUGAUCCCCAAUUCCUGACAACGUCAUCAGAACUGAAGAGAGGCCCUGAAACAGCAUUUUCCAUCCACAGAAAAGACCACCUAAUUUUUUUUUUCAUUUUGCCUAAAAACACUGUGCGUUUUUUUUUUUUUUUUCAUGUAGAUAAAUGGAUCCUAAUCAUGGUACUCUAACAGCAGCAUUUGAUCUUCUGGUUCAGGUUAGAUGUACAUUCACCCUGUAGCCAGUCUGGUUUAACCAAAAAGGAACAAGAUUCUCCAAGUGGAAGCCAAGCAGAGAAAUCAGAGACCAAGAGGGAACACUAAGAGGAAUGGGACCAGAAAGCUUUGGUUUUACAAGCUUCUCAUUUCUC
RNA transcript from Herpailurus yagouaroundi (jaguarundi), 1175 nucleotides. It is a transcript of the gene named PRELI domain containing 2, with no coding region annotated. Lineage: Eukaryota; Metazoa; Chordata; Mammalia; Carnivora; Felidae. The transcript has 8 exons. The record is from RefSeq and is a predicted model, not a curated record.